GGGGAUGUUCAGGUUUCGACAGGAUCAGCUGCGCUUAAACGGCAAGUAGAUGGCAAUCUUAAAAUGCGUCAGUUAAAAUAACUGGAAACAAAUAUCAAAUGGCUUACGCUGCUUAGUUAGCAUAUAGUGUAAGGCUCUUUUAAAAACUUUACCUGUUGGUUUUUAUAAAGGGCUCGAUUUUAACAGGUUAUAUUAUCUCUUUGUUUCGGAGGGGUAAUGAAUUUUAGAAACUAGCUAAUAUAGUGUUUGUUGGCUAACUUCUAUAUUAGUGAAUUUGCUUAGUCAACUAAACUUGUAGAUGUUUUUGCCUCGCUGAUUUUGGACAGGAGUUCGAUUCUCCUCAUCUCCACCA
RNAcentral lists this transfer-messenger RNA (352 nucleotides) under Bacilli. RNAcentral's name for it is "Scybalousia intestinigallinarum Standard tmRNA". It matches the Rfam family "transfer-messenger RNA". From Rfam's summary of the family: Bacterial tmRNA, also known as 10Sa RNA or SsrA, is named for its dual tRNA and mRNA-like properties. Its role is to liberate the mRNA from a stalled ribosome. RNAcentral also lists the same sequence under 3 other names. The record is from RNAcentral. Lineage: Bacteria; Bacillati; Bacillota.